CACGAUACCAUAUUCGAAUGAUCGUUGUUUUUCCAAUGAACGAUUUCUCAACCACGGGAUGCAAUUGGUAAGCUCAUUAAUCCAUUUUUUCAUCCAUGAUUUACCACUUGUAGAUUCAGAAUUAACCAAUUGGGGCAAUCUUUUUGAAGCUCCGAUUAACUGAAGAAAAAGGGUUUGACAUUUGUUAGGUCACAUGAAAAACAUAUAUAUUUAAG
This 215-nucleotide unclassified non-coding RNA is filed under the name Hevea brasiliensis (rubber tree). The record is from RNAcentral. Lineage: Eukaryota; Viridiplantae; Streptophyta; Magnoliopsida; Malpighiales; Euphorbiaceae.